UGCGGGGUGGAGCAGUCUGGUAGCUCGUCGGGCUCAUAACCCGAAGGUCGUUGGUUCAAAUCCGACCCCGCAUCCA
Molecule: transfer RNA, 76 nt
Filed under: Acinetobacter baumannii
Lineage: Bacteria; Pseudomonadati; Pseudomonadota; Gammaproteobacteria; Moraxellales; Moraxellaceae
Description: tRNA-Met
Rfam family: tRNA
About the family: Transfer RNA (tRNA) molecules are approximately 80 nucleotides in length. Their secondary structure includes four short double-helical elements and three loops (D, anti-codon, and T loops). Further hydrogen bonds mediate the characteristic L-shaped molecular structure. tRNAs have two regions of fundamental functional importance: the anti-codon, which is responsible for specific mRNA codon recognition, and the 3' end, to which the tRNAs corresponding amino acid is attached (by aminoacyl-tRNA synthetases). tRNAs cope with the degeneracy of the genetic code in two manners: having more than one tRNA (with a specific anti-codon) for a particular amino acid; and 'wobble' base-pairing, i.e. permitting non-standard base-pairing at the 3rd anti-codon position.
Source: RNAcentral